AUGCACGCUGGCGGCGUGCCUAAUACAUGCAAGUCGAGCGAACGGACGAGAAGCUUGCUUCUCUGAUGUUAGCGGCGGACGGGUGAGUAACACGUGGAUAACCUACCUAUAAGACUGGGAUAACUUCGGGAAACCGGAGCUAAUACCGGAUAAUAUUUUGAACCGCAUGGUUCAAAAGUGAAAGACGGUCUUGCUGUCACUUAUAGAUGGAUCCGCGCUGCAUUAGCUAGUUGGUAAGGUAACGGCUUACCAAGGCAACGAUGCAUAGCCGACCUGAGAGGGUGAUCGGCCACACUGGAACUGAGACACGGUCCAGACUCCUACGGGAGGCAGCAGUAGGGAAUCUUCCGCAAUGGGCGAAAGCCUGACGGAGCAACGCCGCGUGAGUGAUGAAGGUCUUCGGAUCGUAAAACUCUGUUAUUAGGGAAGAACAUAUGUGUAAGUAACUGUGCACAUCUUGACGGUACCUAACCAGAAAGCCACGGCUAACUACGUG
RNAcentral lists this ribosomal RNA (496 nucleotides) under uncultured bacterium. Its description in RNAcentral is "partial 16S ribosomal RNA". It matches the Rfam family "Bacterial small subunit ribosomal RNA", at positions 29 to 507 of the family's 1533-position model. The record is from RNAcentral.